Procambarus clarkii (red swamp crayfish) is the source of this 650-nucleotide non-coding RNA. The record is from RefSeq and is a predicted model, not a curated record. NCBI's taxonomy places the organism in Eukaryota, Metazoa, Arthropoda, Malacostraca, Decapoda, Cambaridae.
UAACUAAGGGGAUGUAAAACAUUGGAGCGCAAACUAGCACAGCACGAGAAAUUGAAAUAUGUUUAUUGAGGUAAAAUACACACAAAGGGAUGAGGUAGCUCAAGCUAUGCUCACCCCGUUCAGUACAUCGUGCUAAUACAUACAUAGACACACAUCACAAGCAAUAAACGUAUUACCGAACAUUCUGAGAGAUAAACAUAUACAUUAACUAGCACAGCACGAGGAUAAUGGUCGUUAAGCACUGUGACGUCACCAAUGACGCUGUGUUGGGCAAGAAGGUCAGGAGCGGGCGGCGGCUGCCACAGUGUCGGGCUGACAGCCAGCAGACGUAGUUCCUUGGGAGGUGUCCCGCUUCUUACAUCAUUUGCAGCUACACCGGUCAUCAGAAAUCCACACUCGCCUGUUAUGUAAUUCACGGAAGGAAUUAUUUCUGAAUUACUUUGGUUAAGACCGGGUAUUGGUGUGGUUCGACAAUCGCCACGAGUCUUCUUGAGAAACUUAAAGUGAACGGAGGACUAGUCAGGCGCACAAGGCACGGAACUAGUUCUGACGUGACGUAGUUGCAAGUCUCGAUAGAGGUGGUUGGACGGUGUUGAACACGGGCGGCUGACAACGUUGCAGGAAUAUCUGAAAGAAAAGGCAAGUUGUUA